GUUGGGUUUGGGUUUUGUGAAGGACUCAACCUCAUAGUGUUGCAAGGGGACAUGGACUUGAGAGCUGAAAUGAGAAUUAUGUACCUGGAAGGUUGUCAUGGCUAGAUCUAGAUCAAUAACGUCUUAAGUGCAUUUUAUAAGUAUUGGUAUUUGGUAGUGUACUUGCAUCUUUUGACUGGCGGAAAGACAAAAUCAUUAAUAAAUAUAUAGUUUAAGAUAGCAAAA
RNAcentral lists this unclassified non-coding RNA (225 nucleotides) under Hevea brasiliensis (rubber tree). The record is from RNAcentral. Lineage: Eukaryota; Viridiplantae; Streptophyta; Magnoliopsida; Malpighiales; Euphorbiaceae.